Erpetoichthys calabaricus (reedfish) is the source of this 231-nucleotide long non-coding RNA. RefSeq lists it as uncharacterized. The record is from RefSeq and is a predicted model, not a curated record. NCBI's taxonomy places the organism in Eukaryota, Metazoa, Chordata, Cladistia, Polypteriformes, Polypteridae. The transcript is spliced from 2 exons.
CACUGAUGCAGUCUGAUAUUCCUUCACCAAUCAAUGCCAUACCAAUAUUGGCUAGUGUGCCACAAGAGACAGCCGUAAGAAUGAUUCCUCCAACAAGCUGUACGACUCCCAGAAGGAAGAUGAGCAGACCUUCCCAACAGAAUCUAGGUCUCUCUUUUACAGUAUAGAUGUUGACCAGGCCCAGUUUGUAAAACUCAUACAGUUCUUGGUGAACUUCAGAUUGUGCAUCUG